This 319-nucleotide ribosomal RNA is filed under the name uncultured Pseudomonadota bacterium. Its description in RNAcentral is "bacterial SSU rRNA". It matches the Rfam family "Bacterial small subunit ribosomal RNA", at positions 30 to 351 of the family's 1533-position model. The record is from RNAcentral. Lineage: Bacteria; Pseudomonadati; Pseudomonadota.
AUUGAACGCUGGCGGAAUGCUUUACACAUGCAAGUCGAACGGCAGCACGGGGCAACCUGGUGGCGAGUGGCGAACGGGUGAGUAAUAUAUCGGAACGUGCCCAAUCGUGGGGGAUAACGUAGCGAAAGUUACGCUAAUACCGCAUACGAUCUACGGAUGAAAGCGGGGGAUCGCAAGACCUCGCGCGAAUGGAGCGGCCGAUAUCAGAUUAGGUAGUUGGUGGGGUAAAGGCUCACCAAGCCAACGAUCUGUAGCUGGUCUGAGAGGACGACCAGCCACACUGGGACUGAGACACGGCCCAGACUCCUACGGGAGGCAG